ACUAAAAUCUCUAAACCAAUGCCA
Molecule: non-coding RNA, 24 nt
Filed under: Arabidopsis thaliana (thale cress)
Lineage: Eukaryota; Viridiplantae; Streptophyta; Magnoliopsida; Brassicales; Brassicaceae
Source: RNAcentral